UACGUAGGGGGCGAGCGUUGUCCGGAUUUAUUGGGCGUAAAGAGCGUGUAGGCGGCCAGGUAGGUCUGCUGUGAAAACUCGAGGCUCAACCUCGAGACGUCGGCGGAAACCAUCUGGCUAGAGUCCGGAAGAGGAGAAUGGAAUUCCUGGUGUAGCGGUGAAAUGCGCAGAUAUCAGGAAGAACACCCGUGGCGAAGGCGGCUCUCUGGGACGGUACUGACGCUGAGACGCGAAAGCGUGGGGAGCGAACAGG
This 253-nucleotide ribosomal RNA is filed under the name uncultured bacterium. RNAcentral's name for it is "partial 16S ribosomal RNA". It matches the Rfam family "Bacterial small subunit ribosomal RNA", at positions 524 to 776 of the family's 1533-position model. The record is from RNAcentral.